Molecule: unclassified non-coding RNA, 821 nt
Filed under: Melitaea cinxia (Glanville fritillary)
Lineage: Eukaryota; Metazoa; Arthropoda; Insecta; Lepidoptera; Nymphalidae
Description: misc RNA ENSMCXG00005007546.1
Source: RNAcentral
AUUCAAAGUAGCGCCUGUUGAUACGCUGCUGGUUCGUGUUUUAGUUCUAACUUCACUCAAGCACGGUCUUGGGUCUUAUUGAUGACGUUUUGUGUAAACAAUUGAUCGUUUAGUUUUGUUUUGUCAAUAUCUCGUGUAUAACAGUUUCUGUUGCAAUCGAACAUAUGUAGUGCGUUUAUGUGAUGUUUAUUCAGUAAUUCUUUUAAUUGUUGAAGUGCUUUUGCGAUGUUUGUGCUCUUCAUUAGCUAUAAUAUUGUGAAUUUUAGUUUAUUUGUAAUCAAGUCACCGUGAUCUUGAAUUAUCGGUUAAAAAUGACAAAUAUUUGUGAAAGAUUAAUACGACGACAUUGUGAAGAAAAAAAUGGCGGCUCCUAUAUGAAGUUGCUGAACACACUCUCAACGGAUUUAGAGGAAAUGCUCUGCGAGAUUUAUGACGACGAGAAUAUUGCAAGGUGAGUAAAUACUUUCUCAUAGAGAUGAGUAAUAUCACCUGUUUAAUGCGAAUCGAUAUUAGAAUAUUUAAAAAAGUAUGUUUUUUUUUUUAAUAUUUAGUGCCAGUAAGUUUGAAAUAAUUUGAACGGGAAGUAUAAGACCUCUUUGGUAUAUUCACGUGAUCUUUUGAUGUAACGAAUGCUUAGAAUUCGUUUUUUAAACUUAAUGUGGUCCUAUUGUAGGUACGCUUUUGUUGCAUAACUAACUAAUUUUAUAUACAUGAAAUAAUGAUGUACUUUAUAUGGUAAAUAAAAUUUGAUUAAGUUUUGACUAUAAUUAUUAUACUUACUUUCGGUACGUACUAGCUUCUUAUUAUGUUUUUACCUUCUU